Molecule: ribosomal RNA, 1537 nt
Filed under: uncultured prokaryote
Description: partial 16S ribosomal RNA
Rfam family: Bacterial small subunit ribosomal RNA
Source: RNAcentral
AGAGUUUGAUCCUGGCUCAGAACGAACGCUGGCGGCGUGGUUUAGGCAUGCAAGUCGAACGAGGACAUAUCCUUCGGGAUAUAAGCCGAGUGGCGAAAGGGUGAGUAAUGCAUAGACAAUCUGCCUUUAGGAUAAGAAUAACUCUGUGAAAGCGGAGCUAAUACUUAAUAAUACAAAGAAAAGAUCCUUUCUUUGUCAAAAGAUGGGUAUGUAAAUACCUUUUGCCUAGAGAGGGGUUUAUGUCCUAUCAGCUUGUUGGUGGGGUAACGGCCUACCAAGGCGAAGACGGGUAACCGGCCUUAGAGGGUAGUCGGUCACACUGGAACUGAGACACUGUCCAGACUUCUACGGAAGGCUGCAGUCGAGAAUCUUUCGCAAUGCCCGAAAGGGUGACGAAGCGACGCCGCGUGGAUGAAGAAGGCCUUCGGGUUGUAAAAUCCUGUCAGGAGUUAUGAAAUAUAAGUUUGAUAAUACCAAAUUUAUUUGACAAAGGCUCCAGAGGAAGCCACGGCUAACUCUGUGCCAGCAGCCGCGGUAAUACAGAGGUGGCAAGCGUUGUUCGGAAUUAUUGGGCGUAAAGAGCACGUAGGUGGGUUUGUAAGUCAGAUGUGAAAGCCUUCUGUUCAACGGAAGAAUUGCAUCUGAAACUGCGAAUCUUGAGUGUAGGAGGGGAGAGUGGAACUUCUGGUGGAGCGGUGAAAUGCGUAGAUAUCAGAAGGAACACCGGUGGCGAAAGCGACUCUCUGGUCUAUUACUGACACUGAGGUUGCGAAAGCUAGGGGAGCAAACGGGAUUAGAUCCCCCGGUAGUCCUAGCCGUAAACGAUGGGCACUAAGUAGGGGAAAGCUACCGAUGUUUUCUCUGCCGUAGCUAACGCAUUAAGUGCCCCGCCUGGGGAGUACGGCCGCAAGGCUAAAACUCAAAAGAAUUGACGGGGGCUCGCACAAGCGGUGGAGCAUGUGGCUUAAUUCGAUGCAACGCGAAAAACCUUACCGGGGUUUGACAUGAUAGAAGUAGGAACCUGAAAGGGUGACCAAUGGUAUCCAGUCCAUAACUAUCACAGGUGUUGCAUGGCUGUCGUCAGCUCGUGUCGUGAGACGUUGGGUUAAGUCCCCUAACGAGCGAAACCCUUAUUUUUAGUUGCCAGCGGGUUAUGCCGGGCACUCUAGAGAGACUGCCGUCAUCAAGGCGGAGGAAGGUGGGGAUGACGUCAAGUCAUCAUGGCCCUUAUGCCCCGGGCUGCACACGUGCUACAAUGGUCGGUACAAAAGGAAGCUAAGCCGAGAGGUGGUGCGAAUCCUAAAAAACCGACCUCAGUUCGGAUUGGAGGCUGAAAUUCGCCUCCAUGAAGUUGGAAUCGCUAGUAAUCGCGGAUCAGCUACGCCGCGGUGAAUAUGUUCCCGAGCCUUGUACACACCGCCCGUCAAGCCACCCAAGCAGGAUGCACCCGAAAACAUUUUACCUGACCGGGAUUUAUCUUGGAGGGGGAUGUUGAAGGAGUGUUUUGUGAGGAGGACUAAGUCGUAACAAGGUAACC